RNAcentral lists this ribosomal RNA (251 nucleotides) under uncultured bacterium. RNAcentral's name for it is "partial 16S ribosomal RNA". It matches the Rfam family "Bacterial small subunit ribosomal RNA", at positions 85 to 339 of the family's 1533-position model. The record is from RNAcentral.
GGUAUGGAAAGCGGCGGACGGGUGAGUAAUGCUUGGGAAUCUACCCGGUAGUGGGGGACAACAGUUGGAAACGACUGCUAAUACCGCAUACGACCUACGGGUGAAAGAGGGGGAUCUUCGGACCUCUUGCUAUCGGAUGAGCCCAAGUCGGAUUAGCUAGUUGGUGAGGUAAAGGCUCACCAAGGCGACGAUCCGUAGCUGGUUUGAGAGGAUGAUCAGCCACACUGGGACUGAGACACGGCCCAGACUCC